RNAcentral lists this ribosomal RNA (830 nucleotides) under uncultured bacterium. Its description in RNAcentral is "bacterial SSU rRNA". It matches the Rfam family "Bacterial small subunit ribosomal RNA", at positions 8 to 823 of the family's 1533-position model. The record is from RNAcentral.
AGAGUUUGAUCAUGGCUCAGAACGAACGCUGGCGGCGCGUUUUAAGCAUGCAAGUCGGACGGCAAGCACUGUAGCAAUAUGGUGCCGAGAGUGGCGAACGGGUGAGUAACACGUAGGUGAUCUACCUCUGGAUGGGGGAUAGCCCGUGGAAACACGGGGUAAUACCGCAUGAGGCCUUGAGGGUAAAGCCUUGAGGUGAAAGGUGCAAUUGCACCGUCUGGGGAUGAGCCUGCGGUCCAUUAGUUAGUUGGCGGGGUAAAGGCCCACCAAGACUCCGAUGGAUAGCCGGCCUGAGAGGGUGUACGGCCACACUGGAACUGAGACACGGUCCAGACUCCUACGGGAGGCAGCAGCUAAGAAUCUUCCGCAAUGGGGGAAACCCUGACGGAGCGACGCCGCGUGGAUGAUGAAGGCCGUAAGGUUGUAAAAUCCUUUUGUCGGUGAAGAAUAAGGGGGGGAGUGGAAAGCCUCUCUGAUGACGUUAGCCGACGAAUAAGCCCCGGCUAAUUACGUGCCAGCAGCCGCGGUAAUACGUAUGGGGCAAGCGUUGUUCGGAGUUAUUGGGCGUAAAGGGCGUGUAGGCGGCUCAUGAAGUCUGGUGUGAAAUCGACAGGCUCAACCUGUCAUAUGCGCUGGAAACUGGUGGGCUUGAGUUCUUGAGGGGAAGCUGGAAUUCCAGGUGUAGGGGUGAAAUCUGUAGAUAUCUGGAAGAACACCGGUGGCGAAGGCGAGCUUCUAUCAGAGGACUGACGCUGAGGCGCGAAAGCGUGGGGAGCAAACAGGAUUAGAUACCCUGGUAGUCCACGCUGUAAACGAUGUGCACUAGGCGU